This 254-nucleotide ribosomal RNA is filed under the name uncultured bacterium. Its description in RNAcentral is "partial 16S ribosomal RNA". It matches the Rfam family "Bacterial small subunit ribosomal RNA", at positions 524 to 776 of the family's 1533-position model. The record is from RNAcentral.
UACGAAGGGGGCUAGCGUUGUUCGGAAUUACUGGGCGUAAAGCGUAUGUAGGCGGAUCGUUAAGUCGGGGGUGAAAUCCCGAGGCUCAACCUCGGAACUGCCUUCGAUACUGGCGAUCUUCGAGUCCGGGAGAGGUGAGUGGAACUCCGAGUGUAGAGGUGAAAUUCGUAGAUAUUAGGAAGAACACCGGUGGCGAAGGCGGCUCUCUGGAACGGUACUGACGCUGAGACGCGAAAGCGUGGGUAGCAAACAGG